GAUGAACGCUGGCGGCGUGCCUAAUACAUGCCAGUCGAGCGAACGGACGAGAAGCUUGCUUCUCUGAUGUUAGCGGCGGACGGGUGAGUAACACGUGGAUAACCUACCUAUAAGACUGGGAUAACUUCGGGAAACCGGAGCUAAUACCGGAUAAUAUUUUGAACCGCAUGGUUCAAAAGUGAAAGACGGUCUUGCUGUCACUUAUAGAUGGAUCCGCGCUGCAUUAGCUAGUUGGUAAGGUAACGGCUUACCAAGGCAACGAUGCAUAGCCGACCUGAGAGGGUGGACCGGCCACCCUGGAACUGAGACACGUUCAAGCUUCCUAGGGGAGGCAGCAGUGGGGAACCUUCCGCAAUGGGGGAAGGCCUAACGGACAACGGCGGGGUGGGUGAUGAGGGUCUUCGGAUCGUAAAACUUUGUAUUAGGGAAGAACAUAUGUGUAAGUAACUGUGCACAUCUUGACGGUACCUAAUCAGAAAGCCACGGCUAACUACGUG
Molecule: ribosomal RNA, 497 nt
Filed under: uncultured bacterium
Lineage: Bacteria
Description: partial 16S ribosomal RNA
Rfam family: Bacterial small subunit ribosomal RNA
Source: RNAcentral